Long non-coding RNA from Vespa mandarinia (Asian giant hornet), 680 nucleotides. NCBI's taxonomy places the organism in Eukaryota, Metazoa, Arthropoda, Insecta, Hymenoptera, Vespidae. The record is from RefSeq and is a predicted model, not a curated record.
AAUACGGUGAAACGGCCUAGCAACAGGGAUUUUUCAAAAUUCCGUUUCAAAUAUUAUUUAGAAAACUAACGAAACAUAAUUCUCGUUCCCGUAUAGAAAAUAACAAGAGAAGAUUUUAAUAUUUCUUUAUCUACGAAAAGAUCUUUUGUAACGCAGACUUACAAUGAGCUAAAUGUGUUAAGGAAUUCCAACCCCCGUCUUGCGAGAUAUGGAAUCUGUUAGAAAAGUGGGAUCAUCUUAUCAUUUUAUUAUCCGACCGAUCUACUGUUCGUUCCAAUUUACUUUUGUUUUUAUCUUGGGAAGUCAACGUUCCAACGUUACGAUGUAUUUAUGGCUUAAACGUAAAAGUGGUGCUGUUGAAACGAAACGACCUGUAGAGAUAUCUAUAUAUAUACACGCGGCGCCCACGUUUCAUGCGCGGGCGUCGCGACGGAGGCGUCGUACUACGUAGUUUUGCACUUGCGGUGACCUUGGGAGCACCCACGUAUCAGGGAGAGAAAGAGGGGGUAAGGAUAUUCGUUCAUCGACGUUCCCAUUCCCUUUUGCCCCUCCUUUACCCUAUCAUUGAGAUACGCGACGACGUACAACGCACGUACCUACCACACACACACACACACACACACACAUACAUCUUCUUUCUUUCUUUCUUUUCUCUUUUUACUUUACAAGAUAUUACUGUA